AACGAACGCUGGCGGCAGGCUUAACACAUGCAAGUCGAACGCCCCGCAAGGGGAGUGGCAGACGGGUGAGUAACGCGUGGGAAUCUACCCAUCUCUGCGGAAUAGCUCUGGGAAGCUGGAAUUAAUACCGCAUACGCCCUACGGGGGAAAGAUUUAUCGGGGAUGGAUGAGCCCGCGUUGGAUUAGCUAGUUGGUGGGGUAAAGGCCUACCAAGGCGACGAUCCAUAGCUGGUCUGAGAGGAUGAUCAGCCACAUUGGGACUGAGACACGGCCCAAACUCCGACGGGAGGCAGCAGUGGGGAAUAUUGGACAAUGGGCGCAAGCCUGAUCCAGCCAGGCCGCGUGAGUGAUGAAGGCCUUAGGGUUGUAAAGCUCUUUCACCGAUGAAGAUAAUGACGGUAGUCGGAGAAGAAGCCCCGGCUAACUUCGUGCCAGCCGCCGCCGUAA
RNAcentral lists this ribosomal RNA (447 nucleotides) under uncultured bacterium. RNAcentral describes it as "partial 16S ribosomal RNA". It matches the Rfam family "Bacterial small subunit ribosomal RNA", at positions 29 to 523 of the family's 1533-position model. The record is from RNAcentral.